AACGAACGCUGGCGGCAUGCCUAACACAUGCAAGUCGAACGAGACCUUCGGGUCUAGUGGCGCACGGGUGCGUAACGCGUGGGAACCUGCCCUUAGGUUCGGAAUAACUCCCCGAAAGGGGUGCUAAUACCGGAUAAUGUCUUCGGACCAAAGAUUUAUCGCCUUUGGAUGGGCCCGCGUUGGAUUAGCUAGUUGGUAGGGUAAAAGCCUACCAAGGCGACGAUCCAUAGCUGGUCUGAGAGGAUGAUCAGCCACACUGGGACUGAGACACGGCCCAGACUCCUACGGGAGGGAGCAGUGUGGAAUAUUGGACAAUGGGCGCAAGCCUGAUCCAGCAAGGCCGCGUGAGUGAUGAAGGGCUUAGGGAUGUAAAGCUCUUUUACCCGGGAUGAUAAUGACAGUACCGGGAGAAUAAGCUCCGGCUAACUACGUG
Molecule: ribosomal RNA, 433 nt
Filed under: uncultured bacterium
Lineage: Bacteria
Description: partial 16S ribosomal RNA
Rfam family: Bacterial small subunit ribosomal RNA
Source: RNAcentral